UACGUAGGCGGUUUAUUAAGUCAGAUGUGAAAGCCCCGGGCUUAACCUGGGAACUGCAUUUGAUACUGGUAGACUAGAGUAUGGUAGAGGGGGGUAGAAUUCCUAGUGUAGCGGUGAAAUGCGUAGAUAUUAGGAGGAAUACCAGUGGCGAAGGCGGCCCCCUGGACCAAUACUGACGCUGAGGUACGAAAGCGUGGGUAGCGAACA
Molecule: ribosomal RNA, 207 nt
Filed under: uncultured bacterium
Lineage: Bacteria
Description: partial 16S ribosomal RNA
Rfam family: Bacterial small subunit ribosomal RNA
Source: RNAcentral